RNAcentral lists this ribosomal RNA (497 nucleotides) under uncultured bacterium. Its description in RNAcentral is "partial 16S ribosomal RNA". It matches the Rfam family "Bacterial small subunit ribosomal RNA", at positions 28 to 507 of the family's 1533-position model. The record is from RNAcentral.
GAUGAACGCUGGCGGCGUGCCUAAUACAUGCAAGUCGAGCGAACAGACGAGGAGCUUGCUCCUCUGACGUUAGCGGCGGACGGGUGAGUAACACGUGGAUAACCUACCUAUAAGACUGGGAUAACUUCGGGAAACCGGAGCUAAUACCGGAUAACAUGUUGAACCGCAUGGUUCAACAGUGAAAGACGGUCUUGCUGUCACUUAUAGAUGGAUCCGCGCCGCAUUAGCUAGUUGGUAAGGUAACGGCUUACCAAGGCAACGAUGCGUAGCCGACCUGAGAGGGUGAUCGGCCACACUUGAACUGAGACACGGUCCAGACUCCUACGGGAGGCAGCAGUAGGGAAUCUUCCGCAAAGGGCGAAAGCCUGACGGAGCAACGCCGCGUGAGUGAAGAAGGUCUUCGGAUCGUAAAACGCUGUUAUUAGGGAAGAACAAAUGUGUAAGUAACUAUGCACGUCUUGACGGUACCUAAUCAGAAAGCCACGGCUAACUACGUG